GAAGAGACGGAGCCGCAGCGAAAGCGAGUCUGAAUAGGGCGAAAUAGUAUGUGGUUGUAGACCCGAAACCAGGUGAUCUACCCAUGUCCAGGGUGAAGUCCAGGUAACACUGGAUGGAGGCCCGAACCCACGCACGUUGAAAAGUGCGGGGAUGAGGUGUGGGUAGCGGAGAAAUUCCAAUCGAACUUGGAGAUAGCUGGUUCUCUCCGAAAUAGCUUUAGGGCUAGCCUCAAGAUUUAGAGUAUUGGAGGUAGAGCACUGAUUGGACUAGGGG
Molecule: ribosomal RNA, 274 nt
Filed under: Niallia circulans
Lineage: Bacteria; Bacillati; Bacillota; Bacilli; Caryophanales; Bacillaceae
Description: Bacillus circulans partial 23S ribosomal RNA
Rfam family: Bacterial large subunit ribosomal RNA
Source: RNAcentral